UACGUAGGGUGCAAGCGUUAAUCGGAAUUACUGGGCGUAAAGCGUGCGCAGGCGGUUUUGUAAGUCAGAUGUGAAAUCCCCGGGCUUAACCUGGGAACUGCGUUUGAAACUACAAGGCUAGAGUGUGGCAGAGGGGGGUGGAAUUCCACGUGUAGCAGUGAAAUGCGUAGAGAUGUGGAGGAACACCGAUGGCGAAGGCAGCCCCCUGGGCUAACACUGACGCUCAGGCACGAAAGCGUGGGGAGCAAACAGG
Molecule: ribosomal RNA, 253 nt
Filed under: uncultured bacterium
Lineage: Bacteria
Description: partial 16S ribosomal RNA
Rfam family: Bacterial small subunit ribosomal RNA
Source: RNAcentral